CGUGUAGGCGGCUUGGUAAGUCAGAUGUGAAAGCCCAGGGCUCAACCCUGGAAGUGCAUUUGAUACUGCCGAGCUUGAGUAUGGGAGAGGAGAGCGGAAUUCCCAGUGUAGAGGUGAAAUUCGUAGAUAUUGGGAGGAACACCCGUGGCGAAGGCGGCUCUCUGGACCAAUACUGACGCUGAGACGCGAAAGCGUGGGGAGCAAACGGGAUUAGAUACCCUGGUAGUCC
This 229-nucleotide ribosomal RNA is filed under the name uncultured bacterium. RNAcentral's name for it is "partial 16S ribosomal RNA". It matches the Rfam family "Bacterial small subunit ribosomal RNA", at positions 568 to 796 of the family's 1533-position model. The record is from RNAcentral.